Molecule: ribosomal RNA, 785 nt
Filed under: Philaccolilus bellissimus
Lineage: Eukaryota; Metazoa; Arthropoda; Insecta; Coleoptera; Dytiscidae
Description: SSU rRNA
Rfam family: Eukaryotic small subunit ribosomal RNA
Source: RNAcentral
UAUUAAAGUUGUUGCGGUUAAAAAGCUCGUAGUUGAAUCUGUGUCUCGCGCUGUCGGUUCACCGCCCGCGGUGUCAAACUGGCACGCCCGCGAGACGUCCUGCCGGUGGGACGGCGCGGCGCCCGCUUCCUCCGGGUCGCACGCCGCGCCUCCCUGCUACCUAUCCCGCCGCGGUGCUCUUGAUCGAGUGUCGAGGUGGGCCGGCACGUUUACUUUGAACAAAUUAGAGUGCUCAAAGCAGGCCCGAACGCUGCCUGAAUAUCUCGUGCAUGGAAUAAUGGAACAGGACCUCGGUUCUAUUUUGUUGGUGCUCGGAACUCGAGGUAAUGAUUAAUAGGGACAGAUGGGGGCAUUCGUAUUGCGACGUUAGAGGUGAAAUUCUUGGAUCGUCGCAAGACGGACCGCAGCGAAAGCAUUUGCCAAAAAUGUUUUCAUUAAUCAAGAACGAAAGUCAGAGGUUCGAAGGCGAUCAGAUACCGCCCUAGUUCUGACCAUAAACGAUGCCAGCUAGCGAUCCGCCGACGUUCCUCCGAUGACUCGGCGGGCCGCUUCCGGGAAACCAAAGCUUGUGGGUUCCGGGGGAAGUAUGGUUGCAAAGCUGAAACUUAAAGGAAUUGACGGAAGGGCACCACCAGGAGUGGAGCCUGCGGCUUAAUUUGACUCAACACGGGAAAGCUCACCAGGCCCGGACACCAGAAGGAUUGACAGAUUGAGAGCUCUUUCUUGAUUUGGUGGGUGGUGGUGCAUGGCCGUUCUUAGUUGGUGGAUCGAUCUGUCUGCUUAAU